Molecule: ribosomal RNA, 253 nt
Filed under: uncultured bacterium
Lineage: Bacteria
Description: partial 16S ribosomal RNA
Rfam family: Bacterial small subunit ribosomal RNA
Source: RNAcentral
UACGUAGGGGGCAAGCGUUAUCCGGAAUUACUGGGUGUAAAGGGAGCGUAGACGGUAAUGUAAGUCUGGAGUGAAAGGCGGGGGCCCAACCCCCGGACUGCUCUGGAAACUAUGUUACUAGAGUGCAGGAGAGGUAAGCGGAAUUCCUAGUGUAGCGGUGAAAUGCGUAGAUAUUAGGAGGAACACCAGUGGCGAAGGCGGCUUACUGGACUGUAACUGACGUUGAGGCUCGAAAGUGUGGGGAGCAAACAGG